GUGAAUCAUCGAAUCUUUGAACGCAAAUUGCGCCUUUUUCGGAAGGCAUGUCCGUUUGAGGGCACCAUUUAACAAAUAAUGUGCGGCGUUUUUGGUUGCACCCGUUGAUGACCUUUCCAAGAAUUUUAAAUUUUUGGUGGCGCAUAAUGAACAGCGUGAAAGUUUUUUUCAGUUCGAGUGUUUUAAAUUCUUUGCUUGGUUUUUGAAAAAACAUAAUCGCGCAAUGGUGGUGGCAUUUUCUUUUUAUCCUUGCCCCAAUCCCACUCUUUCUCACGGAAGAUGGU
This 284-nucleotide unclassified non-coding RNA is filed under the name Paraglomus occultum. Its description in RNAcentral is "partial contains 5.8S ribosomal RNA and internal transcribed spacer 2". The stretch from base 1 to 65 matches the Rfam family "5.8S ribosomal RNA", at positions 84 to 154 of the family's 154-position model. The record is from RNAcentral. Lineage: Eukaryota; Fungi; Glomeromycota; Glomeromycetes; Paraglomerales; Paraglomeraceae.